UGCCAGCCGCCGCGGUAAUACGGAGGAUGCGAGCGUUAUCCGGAAUUAUUGGGUUUGAAGGGUGCGUAGGCGGGAAAUUAAGUCAGUGGUGAAAGCCUGCAGCUCAACUGUAGAAUUGCCAUUGAUACUGAUUUUCUUGAAUUUAUGUGAAGUGAAUAGAAUGCGUCAUGUAGCGGUGAAAUGCUUAGAUAUGACGCAGAAUACCAAUUGCGAAGGCAGUUCACUAACAUAAUAUUGACGCUGAUGCACGAAAGCGUGGGUAGCGAACAGGAUUAGAUA
RNAcentral lists this ribosomal RNA (279 nucleotides) under uncultured bacterium. Its description in RNAcentral is "partial 16S ribosomal RNA". It matches the Rfam family "Bacterial small subunit ribosomal RNA", at positions 506 to 784 of the family's 1533-position model. The record is from RNAcentral.